UACGGAGGGUGCGAGCGUUGUCCGGAAUCAUUGGGCGUAAAGCGCGUGUAGGCGGUCCGGUAAGUCCGCUGUGAAAGUCGGGGGCUCAACCCUCGGAUGCCGGUGGAUACUGUCGGGCUUGAGUACGGAAGAGGCGAGUGGAAUUCCUGGUGUAGCGGUGAAAUGCGCAGAUAUCAGGAAGAACACCCGUGGCGAAAGCGGCUCUCUGGAACGGUACUGACGCUGAGACGCGAAAGCGUGGGGAGCAAACAGG
This 253-nucleotide ribosomal RNA is filed under the name uncultured bacterium. RNAcentral describes it as "partial 16S ribosomal RNA". It matches the Rfam family "Bacterial small subunit ribosomal RNA", at positions 524 to 776 of the family's 1533-position model. The record is from RNAcentral.